RNAcentral lists this ribosomal RNA (226 nucleotides) under uncultured bacterium. Its description in RNAcentral is "partial 16S ribosomal RNA". It matches the Rfam family "Bacterial small subunit ribosomal RNA", at positions 941 to 1167 of the family's 1533-position model. The record is from RNAcentral.
GUGGUUUAAUUCGAUGCAACGCGAAGAACCUUACCUGGUCUUGACAUCCACAGAACUUUCCAGAGAUGGAUUGGUGCCUUCGGGAACUGUGAGACAGGUGCUGCAUGGCUGUCGUCAGCUCGUGUUGUGAAAUGUUGGGUUAAGUCCCGCAACGAGCGCAACCCUUAUCCUUUGUUGCCAGCGGUCCGGCCGGGAACUCAAAGGAGACUGCCAGUGAUAAACUGGA